RNAcentral lists this non-coding RNA (108 nucleotides) under uncultured Enterocloster sp. Its description in RNAcentral is "Glycine riboswitch". It matches the Rfam family "Glycine riboswitch aptamer", at positions 6 to 89 of the family's 94-position model. Rfam says of the family: This family represents the bacterial glycine riboswitch. The record is from RNAcentral. Lineage: Bacteria; Bacillati; Bacillota; Clostridia; Lachnospirales; Lachnospiraceae.
ACUACUCUGGAGAGUCUCUUUCAAUAUCUGAAAUGAGCGCCGAAGGUGUACAGCAGGAAUAUAUGCAAAAUAUUUCCUGCCAAUCUCUCAGGCAAAAGGACAGGGCGG